GCUUACAGUUCGUUCAAGUGCCACCAGUUUUUUUGGAGUUUCAUCUUUUCCAUUCAUCUGAGUAAGCUUACAGUUCGUUCAAGUGCCACCAGUCUGGUUUUGGAGUUUCAUCUAUUCCAUUCAUCUGAGUAAAGUGCUGUGAGAAAGAGCCAUGUCUCCCGUGCCGCCACCAAUGACGAGAUUACGAAGAAUGUAAUACGGUGGUUCAACCUGGCAGCAGAUAGGGGAAGCUCAAGGAGCCGUCCCACUGUCAGCAUCCUGACCCAACAGUA
Molecule: long non-coding RNA, 272 nt
Organism: Xyrauchen texanus (razorback sucker)
Lineage: Eukaryota; Metazoa; Chordata; Actinopteri; Cypriniformes; Catostomidae
Exons: 3
Source: RefSeq, a predicted model, not a curated record